This is a small nucleolar RNA of Apodemus sylvaticus (European woodmouse), 102 nucleotides long. RefSeq annotates it as small nucleolar RNA U13. The transcript has a single exon. The record is from RefSeq and is a predicted model, not a curated record. NCBI's taxonomy places the organism in Eukaryota, Metazoa, Chordata, Mammalia, Rodentia, Muridae.
AUAUUUUUGUGUUUCAGAAGCGGAUUAUUGGUUUUUACAUAUUCAUCUGAUAUGUACCUCCUUCAAACUAUGUUAUAGCUUUGGCAUAAUACCUAUCUGAAA